Ictalurus punctatus (channel catfish) is the source of this 749-nucleotide long non-coding RNA. RefSeq lists it as uncharacterized. The record is from RefSeq and is a predicted model, not a curated record. Lineage: Eukaryota; Metazoa; Chordata; Actinopteri; Siluriformes; Ictaluridae. The transcript is spliced from 3 exons.
ACGGGUGUGGUGAAUUAAACAGGGGACUGUGAAGGAGACGCUAGUCAUGUGAUGAAUCAGAUAAUAAGGUUUGUAGUUUGUUAGUUUGUUAGGAUCUUGAGAAAUGAAGCUUGUGUAAUUAUUGAUUUCCAUUUAUGAUAUGAUUUCCUGAUGAUCAUGGGAAAUUGUGUUCAUGGCUUCAACUCAAUAUGGUAGAGGUACGACAAGCUUCAUGUAGCUAAAAAGUGAAAUUGAAACGAAAUGACGAAGUGACGAAAGAAAAAAAAAUUGGAAAAAAGUAGAGGAGGAGACAGACAAAUGAGAGGAGUGAGACAGACCAAGAGAGAAGUGUAAAACACAGGUUAGAAGAGUUGCACGCUGGGACAGCCCAACGAGAGAAGAAAUGCACUGCAGUGGGACCUUUUUUCAUCUCCUCUGGAUACUUGCUAAUGCUUAUCCCAGUUUUUCAUUUGAAGCAUCGGUUGGAGAGGAUGUAGUGCUGAACUGCACCACAGAAGAUUUGGAGGGAAAGAACUUACGUGUAAAAUGGAGGUUUGGGCUGAAGACUAUUUUGGAGCGGACCAACACGACAGUUUGUGUUACAAAUUCCUUUGAGGGACGAGCAGACAUUCCACAGGAGUGGUUCUCACAGAGAAACUGUUCACUUAAACUUUCUAACAUCACUAAGAGUGACCAUGGUAACUACACAUAUGAAGUGUGGGUAGAGGGUUCAAACAAGAAGGUACAUGAAGGAAAAGUGACACUCAAAG